Molecule: transfer RNA, 76 nt
Filed under: Terriglobia bacterium
Lineage: Bacteria; Pseudomonadati; Acidobacteriota; Terriglobia
Description: tRNA-Thr
Rfam family: tRNA
About the family: Transfer RNA (tRNA) molecules are approximately 80 nucleotides in length. Their secondary structure includes four short double-helical elements and three loops (D, anti-codon, and T loops). Further hydrogen bonds mediate the characteristic L-shaped molecular structure. tRNAs have two regions of fundamental functional importance: the anti-codon, which is responsible for specific mRNA codon recognition, and the 3' end, to which the tRNAs corresponding amino acid is attached (by aminoacyl-tRNA synthetases). tRNAs cope with the degeneracy of the genetic code in two manners: having more than one tRNA (with a specific anti-codon) for a particular amino acid; and 'wobble' base-pairing, i.e. permitting non-standard base-pairing at the 3rd anti-codon position.
Source: RNAcentral
GUGGGCGUAGCUCAGUUGGUAGAGCAUCUGAUUUGUAAUCAGAGGGUCGGGGGUUCAAAUCCCUCCGCCGGCUCCA